AUUGAACGCUGGCGGCAUGCUUUACACAUGCAAGUCGAACGGUAACAGGCCUUCGGGUGCUGACGAGUGGCGAACGGGUGAGUAAUGCAUCGGAACGUACCCAGAGGUGGUGGAUAACGCAGCGAAAGCUGUGCUAAUACCGCAUGUGAUCUGAGGAUGAAAGCGGGGGACCGAGCAGCAAUGUUUGGCCUCGCGCCUUUGGAGCGGCCGAUGUCGGAUUAGCUAGUUGGUGGGGUAAAGGCCUACCAAGGCGACGAUCCGUAGCUGGUCUGAGAGGACGACCAGCCACACUGGGACUGAGACACGGCCCAGACUCCUACGGGAGGCAGCAGUGGGGAAUUUUGGACAAUGGGCGCAAGCCUGAUCCAGCAAUGCCGCGUGCGGGAAGAAGGCCUUCGGGUUGUAAACCGCUUUUGGCAGGAACGAAACGGUGUCCGCUAAUACCGGGCGCUAAUGACGGUACCUGCAGAAUAAGCACCGGCUAACUACGUG
RNAcentral lists this ribosomal RNA (492 nucleotides) under uncultured bacterium. RNAcentral describes it as "partial 16S ribosomal RNA". It matches the Rfam family "Bacterial small subunit ribosomal RNA", at positions 30 to 507 of the family's 1533-position model. The record is from RNAcentral.